This 250-nucleotide ribosomal RNA is filed under the name uncultured bacterium. RNAcentral's name for it is "partial 16S ribosomal RNA". It matches the Rfam family "Bacterial small subunit ribosomal RNA", at positions 524 to 776 of the family's 1533-position model. The record is from RNAcentral.
UACAGAGGGGGCAAGCGUUGUUCGGAAUUACUGGGCGUAAAGGGCGCGUAGGCGGCCUUCUAAGUCGAACGUGAAAUCCCCGGGCUCAACCCGGGAACUGCGUCCGAUACUGGAAGGCUUGAAUCCGGGAGAGGGAUGCGGAAUUCCAGGUGUAGCGGUGAAAUGCGUAGAUAUCUGGAGGAACACCGGUGGCGAAGGCGGCAUCGACCAUUACUGACACUGAAUAGCGAAAGCCAGGGGAGCAAACGGG